GGUUGAUGGCCCUUUAAGAGGCACUAGCCAGCUCUGGUUGCCAUGGAGACAGCUGGACACAGACCGGGUAGAGGCCCACAGCAUGUCCUCCAAAGUUUACUCCACAGGCUCCAGAGCCAAGGACCACCAGCCCUCGGGUGUGGAGUGUCUGCCACUCCCAGAGGCCAAUGCUGAAGCCAUCGACUUCCUCAGCUCCCUCCAUGAGGAGGAGCUACAGAUGCUGUUCUUCUCUGAGACGCUGGCCAUGGUCUCAGACACCGGGGAGCCUCAGGGAGAGCUGACCAUUGACGUGCAGAGAGGGAGAUACCGGGAAAAGCUCGGCGUGCUGACAUACUGCCUUUUCGUGCAUGCCUUUAGCAGAGGCUUCUUGGACAAAAUGCUCUGCGGAAAUUCCCUCCUGGGCUAUCUCUCAGAGAAGCUGGAGCUCAUGGAACAGCACAGCCAAGACUUCAUCAAGUUCCUCAUCCUCCCCAUGGAACGGAAGACAAGUUUGCUGAAGCAGGAUGAUCAGCUGGCUGUGACCAGAAGCAUCAAGGAGGGUGAGGUAAGGAUGAGAGGCAGAUGGGAGUUGCACUCCACACUGUGAACCCAGAGUAUCUGAGACAGGUCCCAAUCAAUUUAGAGACUUUAUUUUGCCAAGGUUAAGGACACAUCCAUGACACAGCCUCAGGAGGUCCUGUGGACAUGUGCCCAAAGUGAUUGGGGCACAGCUUGUUUUUA
Molecule: long non-coding RNA, 720 nt
Filed under: Rhinopithecus bieti (black snub-nosed monkey)
Lineage: Eukaryota; Metazoa; Chordata; Mammalia; Primates; Cercopithecidae
Description: lncRNA (ENSRBIG00000046324.1)
Source: RNAcentral